Polyporus arcularius HHB13444 is the source of this 96-nucleotide non-coding RNA. NCBI's taxonomy places the organism in Eukaryota, Fungi, Basidiomycota, Agaricomycetes, Polyporales, Polyporaceae. The record is from the annotation of a GenBank genome assembly.
GCCCGCCUAGCUCAAUCGGAUAGAGCGUCAGACUCUUACAACCGAUUGUGUUUGGUGGUGAUCUGAAGGCUGCGAGUUCGACCCUCGCGGUGGGCU